GACGAACGCUGGCGGCGUGCUUAACACAUGCAAGUCGAACGGUAAGGCCUUUCGGGGUCCCCGAGUGGCGAACGGGUGAGUAACACGUGGGUGAUCUGCCCUGCACUUCGGGAUAAGCCCGGGAAACUGGGUCUAAUACCGGAUAGGACUGCGCGGUGCAUGCCGUGUGGUGGAAAGAUUUAUCGGUGCAGGAUGGGCCCGCGGCCUAUCAGCUUGUUGGUGGGGUAAUGGCCUACCAAGGCGACGACGGGUAGCCGGCCUGAGAGGGCGACCGGCCACACUGGGACUGAGACACGGCCCAGACUCCUACGGGAGGCAGCAGUGGGGAAUAUUGCACAAUGGGCGCAAGCCGGAUGCAGCGACGCCGCGUGAGGGAGGACGGCCUUCGGGUUGUAAACCUCUUUCAGCAGGGACGAAGCGUGAGUGACGGUACCUGAAGAAGAAGCACCGGCCAACUACGU
This 461-nucleotide ribosomal RNA is filed under the name uncultured bacterium. RNAcentral's name for it is "partial 16S ribosomal RNA". It matches the Rfam family "Bacterial small subunit ribosomal RNA", at positions 28 to 506 of the family's 1533-position model. The record is from RNAcentral.